CGGGGUGUAGCGCAGUCCGGUAGCGCACUACGUUCGGGACGUAGGGGUCGGAAGUUCGAAUCUUCUCACCCCGA
RNAcentral lists this transfer RNA (74 nucleotides) under Bacteroidales bacterium. Its description in RNAcentral is "tRNA-Pro". It matches the Rfam family "tRNA". From Rfam's summary of the family: Transfer RNA (tRNA) molecules are approximately 80 nucleotides in length. Their secondary structure includes four short double-helical elements and three loops (D, anti-codon, and T loops). Further hydrogen bonds mediate the characteristic L-shaped molecular structure. tRNAs have two regions of fundamental functional importance: the anti-codon, which is responsible for specific mRNA codon recognition, and the 3' end, to which the tRNAs corresponding amino acid is attached (by aminoacyl-tRNA synthetases). tRNAs cope with the degeneracy of the genetic code in two manners: having more than one tRNA (with a specific anti-codon) for a particular amino acid; and 'wobble' base-pairing, i.e. permitting non-standard base-pairing at the 3rd anti-codon position. Lineage: Bacteria; Pseudomonadati; Bacteroidota; Bacteroidia; Bacteroidales. The record is from RNAcentral.